UCGUGGCACGAUCUUGGAAAAUCGUGACACGAUUCAGAAACUUGCUCGUUAAGUAUCACUGAUAAGGACUUGUCAACCUUGGGUCCGUUGCAGAUCGUGACACGAUCUAGGGAAAUCGUGGCACGAUUUCUUCAGGGGAAGACUAGUAUAUAUUGUGUUCUUGUGCUUUUUUGGAGAAAGAGAACUUAAGAGAGCUUGUAUGAGCUUUGAGAGAGAACUUGGAUAACAAAGGAGGGAACCAAUGGGUUGAGUGUCUUUGUUGAGAGUGUCUCUUGGGUUGGGAAAAACAUUGUAAUCACCUUGGGUUUUAGGGUUCAUAGUGUGAGAGUGGGAAAAUACCAAAGGGUAGAAUCUAGGGUUUGUUCAU
RNAcentral lists this long non-coding RNA (367 nucleotides) under Medicago truncatula (barrel medic). RNAcentral's name for it is "long non-coding RNA (MTRU_LNC004075)". The record is from RNAcentral. Lineage: Eukaryota; Viridiplantae; Streptophyta; Magnoliopsida; Fabales; Fabaceae.